CUUCUGCUUGGUGACACUAGGAGGCGCACAAAUGACACGCUUUAAGUUAGUAGCAUCACUUCUUUUAGUUAGCUAGUCCUCAAAAUUAGUACCCAAACAAAACUAUAACAUCAUGUAAGUACUUUCUGAGAGUUGCUUUUCAGAUGUGGAUAUACAUGAAGGAACAGAAGUAAAUGACUGUAAAUGCAAGAUCCACAACAGUAUUUAUCUGACAGUUCGCAUGAAAACAAAGCAAACAAGCAACCGGAGGUCAGUAAUGAACUAAAAUUAACCCACAGAACAAAGGGUUAACCGUAACCCACAGUCAAACCAACACAAACAGCCUGAUUCCUGCUCAUCAGUCCUGUAAAUCCCAGAAGGUGUGAAGCCAAACAAAUGAAGGGCUUAUUGCUUGGCACACUUUGACCUGGAAAACAUUAUCCCGUUUGUGUCUCCAGAAUCCUGCCGUUCUCAAUGUUCCUUUCAGAAACGCGUCUCUGGUCCAGAUUUCACUGGAGAGAAUGAGACAAAUGAAAAACUUCACUUCCAAUUUUCUUCAGAGCUGAAUAAGACUGAACCCGGAUCUGUGAGAGACGACACAUGCUUCUGGUGUGUUCGACAAUAUUGCCAUCUGGGAUUAUUUUCAUUUUAUAAAUGGAAGAAAUUAAACAGAGAAUUACAUUAUCAUAAGAUGAAUUAAACCUCAGUGACCACCAUUGCAUCACUUUGCAUGGAUCAUUUUUCAUGCAUUGCAUGUAAAGAUAUACUGUGCAACCUUUCAGAAUUCCCCAUGAGCUCAUUAACAUAUGACCGCUGCAGAAGCAAAAUUUCUUCAGAUAUUAAGUCUUGUUUUCUGAAAGUUUCUGCUUAAAACAAGAUCCUGCCAAUUGCCAAAAUAAACUCGUUUUCCCUUUAAAUGAUACACUUUUCGGAAAACAUAACAUAAUAUCUUCAGUCAUUUUGCUUCACAAGUAAAUAUAUCUUGAUUUAAAAUUUUUUAGAUAUUUAUACUGGAAAAUACUCAGUAAAAAAUGUUGCCAUGCAGAAACUAGUAGUACAAAUACUAUUAUUGUACAGUUGGGAUGUAGAUGUGGGAGAAGUUCAUUUAAUGAUGUAGGACGUGGUCCCUUGAAAAUACAAACAAAAGGAUCAAAUAUUCCUUCAGGAACAUAAAUAAUAGUGGAUUAUAAAUAGUCAUUCAUAAAACAAUAUGAAGUACUUCCUGCAGAAGCCCGUUGGCACCUCAGAUUUGACAGCUCAUUCAUUCUUUGAUUGUGUUCCAUGUAUUUAUGAAACUGGAGUCACGGUCGGGUUCAGCAGUAAUGUUUUAAUAUCCAAACAUGUCCGGAUGCCAUCUCAUUCACCCUCUUCCAGAAUAUUCCGGGUUCUUUAAGGGUUCGGUGUCUGGUUUUGAGAGCUGUUUUUGGUGUUUAUAGUGGAUGUAUGAAGUUUACAGCAGAGGAACCACAGGUGUAGAGAAUCACAUCUAUCAACAUCAUCCACUAGCAGCUUCAUGACAUGUGGCUUGAACAGAUGUCGCAGACGGCAAAACAGAACACAUGCUUCAUCUGCGCUCGCGGUGUGAUGAACCGUGAUGAAAAACACAGUGUCCUCUCCCUAUUUAUCUCAGCAAACACACUGGAUUGACAUACAGCCCAUUUUUUCCAGCCCUUUCCUGUGUGACUGAAGAGUCUGGAGGUUCUGGAUCUGGUUCCGCCGCUCCGUGUUUGGUUUUGAUCUGGUUUCAGCGGUUCUGUCGCUCUGAACAGCUCCGAAUAUUCAUGUGAAUGAAAUCAUCAUCAAAGCCUCCUCAGAUGUGUUUUACGGCCGGUCGAUCCAUAGGGAAGCGCUCUAUAUUCAUCUGGGUUACGCUCCUCACUCACGCCUCUUGUUUAUUUUCUUUUAAGAUGCCACAAAACAUGAGAGAAUAUGAGUGUUCGAGGCUGUGUUUAAUAAUUGAGAAAAACUAAUCAGAGAUAUCUUUGAAGACUGAUUUUUCUAUUAUUCAUCCUUCAUUUAUUUUAACAGUCAGGAUGUGAUGAUUUACAGUCCUGCCCAACUAACAAAAAAGGGAACAUUCCAUUUUUAUCAUUCUUCAAACAUUAUGGGAACAUUUCAGAGAACAUUUAAAAGUAAUAAGUGUAACAUUUAAAAACGAACGUUCUAUUAACGUUACUGGAAGAACUUUGAGAGGAUGAUGUUCUGAGAAGGUUCCCUGUUUGCUGGGUGAGAGGAAUGUGGUUUUCGUGGCUUGUUCACACAGUCUCUAAACAAUCUCUUGCACUGUUUCUAAUUUCAGAAUUUCACAAACAUCCCAUUUUUCUACGGCAUGUUUCUUGGUCAGCGUUCAGCAGGGAUUCGCACGGUCGACCAUCGUGAACCAAUCCGGGUUAGCAGGGAAUGUUCUCUGGAAUGACAAUUAAACGAAACAAAGACGAACCGGCGCAGUGAACCGGGACAAAUUAGAGGGUGUGUUUGAAAUGUACCGGACAUCUACAAAUACUCCUCAUGAAUGAGUUUGGAACUGCUGAAACUCCUUGACGUGAGGAAUUUCAACAUCCAACACUCGGCCCUGAAUUCAAGGCCGAGGAUGAACCGCAGACCCCCGAGACGCAAACCACACAGACACACAGAAAGAGACGGACGGGAGGGGAAGACAUGAUGUGAUGAAGUGAAAAACAGAACCGAUUAUCCUCUCAUUCCCAUCCAAAUGCACACACUCGGACAUCUGUCUGAUAUUAUUUACUGUUCAACAUAUUCAAGGUUCAAACCAAAACACAUUUAUAAUCCAGUGCUGGUGAAGCUACUUUCAAGCUUUAGCUUUGUUUCUUCAUUUUUUAAUGUUGCCUGUGUUGACCGAGGGAUCAGGACGUGACCACUGUGCUGAUGAACUGACCGUUUUCGUUUCAUAAACUAGUUCAACUUUAGUCAAGCUGCUCUUUUGUAAAAGUAGUGAGUGACACCACAAACCACUAACAAAUAGCAACUACUGAAG
Megalobrama amblycephala (Wuchang bream) is the source of this 2974-nucleotide long non-coding RNA. RefSeq lists it as uncharacterized. The record is from RefSeq and is a predicted model, not a curated record. The transcript is spliced from 7 exons. Lineage: Eukaryota; Metazoa; Chordata; Actinopteri; Cypriniformes; Xenocyprididae.